GAAUGUAUAGCUUUGGCUAAUUAUAUUUGUUUUAAUUGAUGAAAGAUAAAUUAAAUAUUAAAAUGUUGAUUAAUUUAUUAAUUAAUAUUGCUCAUAUUUUAUCGACUUUGUCGCAUAAAGUUCUAGAUAGAAUACUGAUUAUGACAAUUUUCUAUCUAUGUGUCUUGACCAAAUUACGUGCCAGCAGUCGCGGUAAUACGUAGAAGACUAGUGUUAUUCAUCUUUAGUAGGUUUAAAGGGUACCUAGACGGUUUAAUUAGUCCAAAAUAGGAUACGGUUUUACUAGAGUUAUAUAUAAGAAGGUGAGUAUUUGUGGAGUAGAGUUGAAAUUCUUUGAUACCACGAGGACUGGUAACGGCGAAAGCAACCUUUUAUUUAAUAACUGACGUUGAGGGACGAAGGCUCGGGUAGCGAACAGGAUUAGAUACCCUAGUAGUCCAAGCAGAAAAUUAUGAAUGCCAUAGAUUAGAUAUUUUUAGUUUAUAAAUGAAAGUGUAAGCAUUCCACCUCAAGAGUAAUGUGGCAACGCAGGAACUGAAAUCAUUAGACCGUUUCUGAAACCAGUAGUGAAGUAUGUUAUUUA
RNAcentral lists this ribosomal RNA (583 nucleotides) under Pezicula californiae. RNAcentral describes it as "SSU rRNA". The stretch from base 112 to 583 matches the Rfam family "Bacterial small subunit ribosomal RNA", at positions 1 to 948 of the family's 1533-position model. Lineage: Eukaryota; Fungi; Ascomycota; Leotiomycetes; Helotiales; Dermateaceae. The record is from RNAcentral.